This 1419-nucleotide ribosomal RNA is filed under the name Streptococcus salivarius. Its description in RNAcentral is "bacterial SSU rRNA". It matches the Rfam family "Bacterial small subunit ribosomal RNA". Lineage: Bacteria; Bacillati; Bacillota; Bacilli; Lactobacillales; Streptococcaceae. The record is from RNAcentral.
GCAGUAGAACGCUGAAGAGAGGAGCUUGCUCUUCUUGGAUGAGUUGCGAACGGGUGAGUAACGCGUAGGUAACCUGCCUUGUAGCGGGGGAUAACUAUUGGAAACGAUAGCUAAUACCGCAUAACAAUGGAUGACACAUGUCAUUUAUUUGAAAGGGGCAAUUGCUCCACUACAAGAUGGACCUGCGUUGUAUUAGCUAGUAGGUGAGGUAACGGCUCACCUAGGCGACGAUACAUAGCCGACCUGAGAGGGUGAUCGGCCACACUGGGACUGAGACACGGCCCAGACUCCUACGGGAGGCAGCAGUAGGGAAUCUUCGGCAAUGGGGGCAACCCUGACCGAGCAACGCCGCGUGAGUGAAGAAGGUUUUCGGAUCGUAAAGCUCUGUUGUAAGUCAAGAACGAGUGUGAGAGUGGAAAGUUCACACUGUGACGGUAGCUUACCAGAAAGGGACGGCUAACUACGUGCCAGCAGCCGCGGUAAUACGUAGGUCCCGAGCGUUGUCCGGAUUUAUUGGGCGUAAAGCGAGCGCAGGCGGUUUGAUAAGUCUGAAGUUAAAGGCUGUGGCUCAACCAUAGUUCGCUUUGGAAACUGUCAAACUUGAGUGCAGAAGGGGAGAGUGGAAUUCCAUGUGUAGCGGUGAAAUGCGUAGAUAUAUGGAGGAACACCGGUGGCGAAAGCGGCUCUCUGGUCUGUAACUGACGCUGAGGCUCGAAAGCGUGGGGAGCGAACAGGAUUAGAUACCCUGGUAGUCCACGCCGUAAACGAUGAGUGCUAGGUGUUGGAUCCUUUCCGGGAUUCAGUGCCGCAGCUAACGCAUUAAGCACUCCGCCUGGGGAGUACGACCGCAAGGUUGAAACUCAAAGGAAUUGACGGGGGCCCGCACAAGCGGUGGAGCAUGUGGUUUAAUUCGAAGCAACGCGAAGAACCUUACCAGGUCUUGACAUCCCGAUGCUAUUUCUAGAGAUAGAAAGUUACUUCGGUACAUCGGUGACAGGUGGUGCAUGGUUGUCGUCAGCUCGUGUCGUGAGAUGUUGGGUUAAGUCCCGCAACGAGCGCAACCCCUAUUGUUAGUUGCCAUCAUUCAGUUGGGCACUCUAGCGAGACUGCCGGUAAUAAACCGGAGGAAGGUGGGGAUGACGUCAAAUCAUCAUGCCCCUUAUGACCUGGGCUACACACGUGCUACAAUGGUUGGUACAACGAGUUGCGAGUCGGUGACGGCAAGCUAAUCUCUUAAAGCCAAUCUCAGUUCGGAUUGUAGGCUGCAACUCGCCUACAUGAAGUCGGAAUCGCUAGUAAUCGCGGAUCAGCACGCCGCGGUGAAUACGUUCCCGGGCCUUGUACACACCGCCCGUCACACCACGAGAGUUUGUAACACCCGAAGUCGGUGAGGUAACCUUUUGGAGCCAGCCGCCUAAG